UAGGGAAUAUUGGUAAUCUGGGAAACCGGGAACCAGCAACGCCGCGUGCGCGAUGAAGGCCUUCGGGUUGUAAAGCGCUUUUUAAAGGGAUGAGGAAGGACAGUACCUUUAGAAUAAGCCUCGGCUAACUACGUGCCAGCAGCCGUGGUAAAACGUAGGAGGCGAGCGUUAUCCGGAUUUACUGGGCGUAAAGCGUGUGCAGGCGGUUUGAUAAGUUGGAUGUGAAAGCUCCUGGCUUAACCGGGAGAGGUCGUUCAAAACUAUCAG
RNAcentral lists this ribosomal RNA (267 nucleotides) under uncultured bacterium. RNAcentral describes it as "partial 16S ribosomal RNA". It matches the Rfam family "Bacterial small subunit ribosomal RNA", at positions 355 to 639 of the family's 1533-position model. The record is from RNAcentral.